GUCGAGAAUUUUUCACAAUGGGGGAAACCCUGAUGGAGCGACGCCGCGUGGGGGAUGAAUGGCUUCGGCCCGUAAACCCCUGUCAUUUGCGACCAACCCGCGUUAUUUAAAAGAUGGCGCGCUGAUGGUAGCGGAAGAGGAAGGGACGGCUAACUCUGUGCCAGCAGCCGCGGUAAUACAGAGGUCCCGAGCGUUGUUCGGAUUCACUGGGCGUAAAGGGUGCGUAGGUGGCGAGGCAAGUCGGAUGUGAAAUCUCGGAGCUCAACUCCGGAACUGCAUUGGAAACUGCCUGGCUGGAGGGUCGGAGGGGGGACUGGAAUUCUCGGUGUAGCAGUGAAAUGCGUAGAUAUCGAGAGGAACACCCGUGGCGAAGGCGAGUCCCUGGACGACACCUGACACUGAGGCACGAAAGCUAGGGGAGCAAACAGGAUUAGAAACCCCUGUAGUCC
Molecule: ribosomal RNA, 449 nt
Filed under: uncultured bacterium
Lineage: Bacteria
Description: bacterial SSU rRNA
Rfam family: Bacterial small subunit ribosomal RNA
Source: RNAcentral